UCCGCCCGCUGGCGGCGUGCUUAACACAUGCAAGUCGAACGGAAAGGCCCUGCUUUUGUGGGGUGCUCGAGUGGCGAACGGGUGAGUAACACGUGAGUAACCUGCCCUUGACUUUGGGAUAACUUCAGGAAACUGGGGCUAAUACCGGAUAGGAGCUCCUGCUGCAUGGUGGGGGUUGGAAAGUUUCGGCGGUUGGGAAUGGACUCGCGGCUUAUCAGCUUGUUGGUGGGGUAGUGGCUUACCAAGGCUUUGACGGGUAGCCGGCCUGAGAGGGUGACCGGCCACAUUGGGACUGAGAUACGGCCCAGACUCCUACGGGAGGCAGCAGUGGGGAAUAUUGCACAAUGGGCGGAAGCCUGAUGCAGCAACGCCGCGUGCGGGAUGACGGCCUUCGGGUUGUAAACCGCUUUCGCCUGUGACGAAGCGUGAGUGACGGUAAUGGGUAAAGAAGCACCGGCUAACUACGUG
This 468-nucleotide ribosomal RNA is filed under the name uncultured bacterium. Its description in RNAcentral is "partial 16S ribosomal RNA". It matches the Rfam family "Bacterial small subunit ribosomal RNA", at positions 34 to 507 of the family's 1533-position model. The record is from RNAcentral.